Molecule: non-coding RNA, 231 nt
Organism: Pogona vitticeps (central bearded dragon)
Lineage: Eukaryota; Metazoa; Chordata; Lepidosauria; Squamata; Agamidae
Source: RefSeq, a predicted model, not a curated record
UCCUAGCCCAAUUAUGGUUCAAUUUUGGAGCAGUGGCUUAGUUUCUACCCGGACAAAGUGGUGGACAUUGCCUUCAGUAUGGUGCAAGGACCUUGGGGUACAGCGGAUUAUUUCCUCACUUCUUCCUACUGAAGAUUAUGGCCCAGGAUGAGAGGAGCCCUGCAGUGAGUUCCAAAGAGGAGAAAUAUAUUGGAGCAGAAGAGCCCCAGCCAAAAAGAAGUGAUCAGCCCA